CCUACGGGAGGCAGCAGUGGGGGAUAUUGCACAAUGGGGGGAACCCUGAUGCAGCGACGCCGCGUGGGUGAAGGAGUGCUUCGGCAUGUAAAGCCCUAUCGGCAGGGAAGAAGCAAGACGGUACCUGACUAAGAAGCCCCGGCUAACUACGUGCCAGCAGCCGCGGUAAUACGUAGGGGGCGAGCGUUAUCCGGAUUCACGGGGUGGAAAGGGAGCGGAGACGGCCAUGCAAGCCAGGGGUGAAAGCCCGGGGCCCAACCCCGGGACUGCCCUUGGAACUGCAUGGCUGGAGUGCGGGUGGGGCAGGCGGAAUUCCUGGUGUAGCGGUGAAAUGCGUAGAUAUCAGGAGGAACACCGGCGGCGAAGGCGGCCUGCUGGACCGCGACUGACGUUGAGGCUCGAAAGCGUGGGGAGCGAACAGGAUUAGAUACCCGAGUAGUC
This 441-nucleotide ribosomal RNA is filed under the name uncultured bacterium. RNAcentral describes it as "partial 16S ribosomal RNA". It matches the Rfam family "Bacterial small subunit ribosomal RNA", at positions 338 to 795 of the family's 1533-position model. The record is from RNAcentral.